GGGCUAGGCACAGUUCAGGUAGAUCAACAAACCGAAAGACCCUGCCCUAGGGGAGCUUUCGCUCCAAUGCGGGGAGAGGGUGGAUGAUUGCAGUUUUGCCCAGUAAUUUUUGGGACCCUCAUGCCACCAUUAAUUAGCUACACACAUUUCACCGAAAGUCUACCUUACAUAUUAAUCAGAAGAAGUGGAAGAAUAAACACAGAAGAAGCAAAAAAGGAAGGAACUUUCUCACUGAAAGUUUCUAUUUAAUAUUAAGUCUUAAAAGUACUCCUGGAAGGACAAAAGGUGUUCUUAAUAAAUUAUAUUCGCAAAUAUUGGAUUUAAUCCUACCAGUAAUGAAGCAGUCAGUUACUUUCUAGAUGUGCAGAAAUACGUAAUGAACAAAAAAAACUAAUUCCUAUUCCAUUUUUUAUUAGGUCCACAGUUAUUUCACUUCUAAAUAAAUAUGGUUUUUUAAAAGUGGCACGCGGUGGAAUGUAAUUGAGACAGGAUGGAGUUCCUAGAGAAAUUUUACUUCCUCAAUCUGCACUCCACCUUACUUAAAAUACAGUCUUGGGUCUGUAAUUCCCUUAUCUGACUCUCAAGGAAAUGACAAAGUAAUGCCUAGAUUGGACUAAACCUCAUUUAACUUCAAGGCUGACCUUUCUCAAAGUUGAACCUUCGUCUUGUGAGGAACAGAAAGAUCAAGAACUCUGAAGCACCUCGACUUUCCACCUGUGAAGAUGUGUUCAAAUUUGCAACGUGCGGCCACACCUAUGAGGUCACUCCCUCUGGAGGAAACCAGCUGCCACUUUGUGAGGAUACUCAUAGUCCUGUGGAGGCAUAUCCUCCAUAUGGCUGAGACCUCCUGCGAACAACCAUCACUGACUUGCCAGACAUGAGUGUGCCACCUUGGAAGCAGAUUUUCCAGCCCCAGUUAAGCCUUCAGAUGACAUCAGCCCCUGCUAAUCUCUUGACUACAACCUCAUGAGAGACCCUGAGCCAGAACUAGCCAGAUGUGCAAGGACUCCCGUCUACUCAUUAUCCAACAUGACAAUGGAACACGUUUCUAUCAGCCUCAUCGGAAAUCUUGGCAGAUGCUGUCAGAAAGUGUGUGCUGUUCCUGAGAUGUGAUUUUUCAACAGUGUAGACUGUACUAUUUGACUAGGGGUGGGAAAAAGAGGAGCGGGAGUUGAUUGUGCUUUCUUUUGGUUUUGUUUUUAAUUUUGAAAUUCUUCUCUCCAAGGGGGCCUUGCCUUGGACUAUGUCCAGCUUUGCUGAAUAGCCAUGUCUGCAUGACCAGUGGACUGGGGCUGGCCAGCAAUCCCAGGGCCACACCAAAGCCCAGUGCCGAGGGCCCAUUUCUUUGAAAUAGUUCCCUCAUGGCUCUCACUUCCCCUUACUCCAACAUUAUUCGUACCUACCAUGCCCCGCUAUUCCACUUCUGCCCUGACCUCAGUGUCUUGCAUUGAGACAUUUGAAGAGUGUGGUUCAAGGAAAGAGCAUGUUUGUUCCCAGCUGAACAAGGCUCAGGGAGACUAGCAGUGCCAGAGACAGGAGUGGGCAACAUUUCUGUGUGAAUUAAGCCAUGCAGUGUGCAAGUUCCCCAUGGCAAACACCACCUUUCCCUGGGAAGACAGCCAAGGCCUGGAGCCCCAUGUAGGAAAUCUCCUGUGAGAGGCCCUUCCUGAGCUCCACAGAAAAUGAUUCUUUUCAUAGGCACUGAGUCCCCUUUUUUUCUAGCCAUAAAUGCCCACAUCACAGUCCCCCUUCCUGGCCUUCUACACUCUGCUCCCGUGCCAAGUGCCCUCACCCAGGCCCCCUCAUAGCUCAUGCACCCCUUUCCCUUCCUUUCCACACUCAACUGGCCUCCCCAAGCCCUCAGAAAGCCUAUUCCUUUCCCCUGCUGUGCUGUUGACUCUCCCUCCAUCCUGCACUCUAUGCCUCUCACUUGAAACUGCUCCAUGCCGUGACCUAACAUCUCCAGAGGCUCCUCUCGGGUUGAACAGACAUGAUUUGUUGACUUUGCCAGAUUAGCAAAGGGAGCAAAUUCCAUAGAUUCCUCUGCCCCUAAGUCUCAAAGUGCAGACCUUCAUCUUGAUAGCAGGAGCGAGGUGAUGGAGGCAGCCUGGGAUUGCAUAAAACAGUAACAGCAAUAUGAUGACUCUGUAGGGACAAUUACUCCCUGGCAGGUCUAAGGGCUAAGCCUUAAUCUUUCCAACAAGGCUCUGCAGUAGGUAUUAUUACUAGCCUCAUUUUGUAGUCGAGAGAAUGGAAGGCCGGGUGCUGUGGCUCAUGCCUGUAAUCCCAGCUCUUUGGGAGAUGGGCAGAUCACUUGAAGUCAGGAGUUCAAGACCAGCCUGGCCAACAUGGUGAAAUCCCGUCAUUAUUAAAAACACAAAAAUUAGCCGGGUGUGGUGUAAACCCAGCUACUCCAAAGGUUGAGGCACAAGAAUCGCUUGAACCUGGGAGGCAGACGUUGCAGUGAGCCAAGAUUGCACCACUGCACUCCAGCCUGGGCAACAGAGCAAGACUCUGUCUCAAAAAACAAAACAAAACAAAAGGCCCGGCAAGGUGGCUCACGCCUGUAAUUCUAGCACUUUGGGAGGCCAAGGUGGGUGGAUCACCUGAGGUCAGUAGUUCAAGACCAGCC
RNAcentral lists this long non-coding RNA (2632 nucleotides) under Homo sapiens (human). RNAcentral describes it as "TRAM2 antisense RNA 1". Lineage: Eukaryota; Metazoa; Chordata; Mammalia; Primates; Hominidae. The record is from RNAcentral.